GGCUCAGGAUGAACGCUAGCGGCAGGCUUAACACAUGCAAGUCGAGGGGCAGCGCGGGGUAGCAAUACCCUGGCGGCGACCGGCGCACGGGUGCGUAACGCGUAUGCAACCUGCCCGUAACAGGGGUAUAACGGCGGGAAACUGCCACUAAUCCCCCCAUAUUGUCACCCUCCCGCAUGGGCGGGUGACGAAAGCUUUCUUGCGGUUACGGACGGGCAUGCGUGACAUUAGGUAGUUGGCGGGGCGACGGCCCACCAAGCCGACGAUGUCUAGGGGAGCUGAGAGGCUUAUCCCCCACACUGGUACUGAGACACGGACCAGACUCCUACGGGAGGCAGCAGUGAGGAAUAUUGGUCAAUGGGCGGAAGCCUGAACCAGCCAUGCCGCGUGGAGGAAAGACGGCCCUACGGGUUGUAAACUCCUUUUGCCGCAGAGUAAUAAGGCUCACGCGUGGGCUGAUGAGAGUAUGCGGCGAAUAAGCAUCGGCUAACUCCGUGCCAGCCGCCGC
Molecule: ribosomal RNA, 508 nt
Filed under: uncultured bacterium
Lineage: Bacteria
Description: bacterial SSU rRNA
Rfam family: Bacterial small subunit ribosomal RNA
Source: RNAcentral